CCUACUUACUAUAAUAGGUACAACUGGCUUGUGGCAGCCAAGCGUUCAUAGCGACGUUGCUUUUUGAUCCUUCGAUGUCGGCUCUUUCUCUCCUCCUUCUGCCGAAUUCGGCGUAAGCGUUGUCGAUGCUUUGUUCGCUAUCACUAACGUGGCCUAAUCAGCUUUGUUUUUAAG
The sequence is a ribosomal RNA, 174 nucleotides long. It matches the Rfam family "Eukaryotic large subunit ribosomal RNA", at positions 2412 to 2986 of the family's 3401-position model. The record is from Rfam.